Molecule: ribosomal RNA, 496 nt
Filed under: uncultured bacterium
Lineage: Bacteria
Description: partial 16S ribosomal RNA
Rfam family: Bacterial small subunit ribosomal RNA
Source: RNAcentral
AUGAACGCUGGCGGCGUGCCUAAUACAUGCAAGUCGAGCGAACAGACGAGGAGCUUGCUCCUCUGACGUUAGCGGCGGACGGGUGAGUAACACGUGGAUAACCUACCUAUAAGACUGGGAUAACUUCGGGAAACCGGAGCUAAUACCGGAUAACAUGUUGAACCGCAUGGUUCAACAGUGAAAGACGGUCUUGCUGUCACUUAUAGACGGAUCCGCGCCGCAUUAGCUAGUUGGUAAGGUAACGGCUUACCAAGGCAACGAUGCGUAGCCGACCUGAGAGGGUGAUCGGCCACACUGGAACUGAGACACGGUCCAGACUCCUACGGGAGGCAGCAGUAGGGAAUCUUCCGCAAAGGGCGAAAGCCUGACGGAGCAACGCCGCGUGAGUGAAGAAGGUCUUCGGAUCGUAAAACUCUGUUAUUAGGGAAGAACAAAUGUGUAAGUAACUAUGCACGUCUUGACGGUACCUAAUCAGAAAGCCACGGCUAACUACGUG